GGGUGGGUCUGCAGGCAAGGAUGUGACGUGCUUAUGCCUCGACUCAGCUGUAACAACAAACACACCUAUGGUUUUAGUCUAGGAGAGAGAAUUCCUUGUGAAUUACAAUGGGCAGAACGUUGUGUCGUAAAGAAACUCUACUGCUGAAGGGGAGAUAGAAUUUCCUCAGGCUCUGCAGACAUCAGUGCUACAAUGGGAAGCUUUAUAGACAAAGAUGGACUAAGGAAGUUGGACGCCAUCAGAAAUGAGGAGAGACGUGAUUGCAUGCUGUUGCUGAUGACUGUGUUGCAUCACCAGGGCUGGCUCAGGGAUGUGUGCGGAUUUUAUCACCUACUGUGGCAGAGCAUCCUUCUUCAUCCCCAUCACAAAUACACAGGUGCGGCUACAGAUCUUGCUUUCAAGUGGACAUUCCUUAUGAUAUAAGCUUGGGGUGGGGAAAUCAGACUGUGUUGAAGAGGCUGCAAGUUUGUCAUUGAAAUGAGUUUUGCAAAGCAACAUGUUUCUCCCAGCAUAUUUCGGCCAAUGUGGUUUCGUGAAUGUCGUGUGUAUUAGUUCCUACCCAGGCAAUUGCUCUUUGAACACUGUUCCAUUUUGGUUACUAAUGAGUUUCUCAAGGAAAAUUAGUACAGCCAGCUGCUAUUUAUAUUUUUAAAAUCACAGAAUGUAACUAUGUGAAAGUGUUUUUUAAUACUUUUUAAAUCAGUUGAAUUUUAUAAUGGAGAUAUCUCUCCAUUAAUUUAGAUUUCAGAUAAUUUUAAAAUGUUUUUAUCUUGUAUGCAUAGAUCAAGGCCUACAUGUUUAGCUGAAUUGGUACUGAAUUUCUUCUAAUAAUCCACUCUGAAGAGAUGGAAGAGUGACUUCAAGAAGAAAUUUGUAAAAUCAGCUAAAGAAAAAAUGUGUAGAGAGCUCAAACAUUGAAAAUCUUUCAUUUCCUGUUCAAAUUUGAGAUUUGCUAUGUGUACUUUAUGCAGAUAACCUCCAAAGUUAAACUAUAAACUGUAAAGUUUAAUGUCCGCUUUUUAAAUUUUUCAAUAACUUUUGUUAAAGGUAAGUGAGGUUAUAUAUGGUGUUUCUGAUGAGAGACAAGGUGGCGACUAGACUGUUGUUGUGUUGGGGAAGUAACAUAGUGUUUAAAGAUUCACUAUUUCAAAGAAAAGUACUUUGACCUCCUUAUUGAUUUAUGCUACUUUAAGAAUAGACUUUCUUGAUAACUUAAGCCACUUUAAUUUCGGUGUGAUUUUAUACUUUACAAAGAAAGCUCUUUGAACUAAAAUACACUAGUAAAAUAAAAAUCCAUUGCUCCAUAUUGUUGUCCUAUAUUAUUCAUAGGUCACUCUACCUCCAUAUGUAUUUGCACUCAAGUAAAAGAAAAUCUAUACAGGCUUAUCCUUACAUUCCCUUUAGCCUGGUUUAGGAAUCGGUGCCUACUAAAGAGGCCGUAGUUCAUCUGUGUGUGCUCUGCCUCUGUGUGUGUUUCCUCAAGUUGUAAUUAGGCUGGAUGUUGAGGAGGUUGAUAGCAUGAUGCUGGAGAGCAAAGGUGGGGACUGGGUCCUGGUCAAAAGUCCAAAUAUCCACAAAGAAGAGAAGAUUAGAUCUAACAACAACUAAAGCUUAUCAGUUAGAAGCUCUGUGGUACGUAGUCAGGUAUGACACACAUAGAAAGAUGACUAGAUGAUAGGUAAAUAGGCCAUUUAGUCUGAUAUUGCUAAGUAAGGG
Molecule: long non-coding RNA, 1716 nt
Organism: Rhinopithecus bieti (black snub-nosed monkey)
Lineage: Eukaryota; Metazoa; Chordata; Mammalia; Primates; Cercopithecidae
Source: Ensembl